Molecule: long non-coding RNA, 10859 nt
Organism: Dromaius novaehollandiae (emu)
Lineage: Eukaryota; Metazoa; Chordata; Aves; Casuariiformes; Dromaiidae
Exons: 2
Source: RefSeq, a predicted model, not a curated record
GGCCGCGCUGGCCUGUGGGUGUAGGGUACAGGGGCGGCUGAGGUGCCCGUCCUCCCCGGGAGGCAAAACGGUGCUUUGACCUUUUUGGGCAUCUGGAAACAUCUGAGAUGAAAAAUGGUGCCAGCUCCGGCUGCGGGGUUCACCCAGGGCUGUAGGUAACUCUGGUUCUGUUGCAGAGAUGAUUUUGUGGGGCUGUUUCUGGACUUUCUCAGCUGAAAUGAGAAAGAGGCAGCUGCCGAGCGCCUGGGGAAAAGCCCGGGAGCAGCCUGGCCUCACUCCCCCGCUGCUGGUGCCUGGGGCACAAGCGGUCGGGGUUAAAGCAAGCCUCUCCCCGCAGUGGCUGUGUCUCACCCGCUUUACCUCUAUUUCCUAUCUCGCUGGAUUAAAGCACACGUGCUGAGGACUGUGCGUCUUGCAGUUACACCUCCCGCGGCAGCGGCAGCCACCUGAGCGUGUGCGUGUCAUUCUCCAAUUAACAGCCCGGGGGGAAAAACAAAGCAGAAGCCGCGAUGCAGACCCUCUUCCUGGCUGCUCCCCUCGUCCUUUCCAGAGCGCAGGGAGGGGAGACGUGUGACUGCUGUGUCGCAGGUGACCGGGGCAGCUCAAAAGUUAUCAAAGCUUGAUCACGUUUGGUAGGUGGAGAAAAAUCCCCGAGACGCUAACUUUCUGCAGACUCUGCAAAAUGAGGCUGCUGAUGAGGGGAGAAAGCCCCUCUUACCUACCCUGCGUUGGCGAAGUCUACUGAGCUCCCCCUUUUAUUAGACACCGGAGAAGCCACAAUGCUCCUGGGAACCAAAGCGAUCGGGGCGAGGGGGCCGCUCUGACUCCUGGGCUCUGCUAGGCACCUUUUCACUCGGCAGCUCUGCCUAACUGGCCAGUUAAUGGAUACAAAGCCCUGGAGGGAGCUGAGACUAACUUGAGAAACCCAGGAAAACACUGAUCUCAGCAGAAUGCUGUGUGCAGAGGAGACUCGCCGAAGGUCCAUCUUAUUUGAAGUGAUAAACUAGGAAGCCAGAGCUGAAAAGAUCAUUGCACAAGGUCGUCGAGACGGGGACGGGCAGGUUUGGCUGCCAGUUCUCGGCAGGAGACGGAGCGCGGCUCGGUGGUUUCGUGCUCGCCGUGAGCCGGCAGGAUUAGCUGCUGUUCUUGGCCCUGUUCUUGGUGUCGGGUGGUCUCAGGCGAAAUCCUUCUCCCCCUUCUCAUCUGCUUAGUCCGUGUCCUAAAGCACUUGUGGUCUCUCUUGCUGUGCCUGUAGUGUGUUUAACGAACGGAGCGCGGACUAAAGACAGUGCUCUGUAGGGAAACCCUGGGCCAGCCUGGAGGAGCUGGAGCUGUGUCUGGUUUCCGCGGUUCUUGCUCUGCACUACACAAUAAAACCAUGAGUUGUAACGCCAAAAUGGGAGACACUGGAGGAGAAAACGGGUUCCCAGCAGGAUGGAUAAGGUCCUUCUUGUCUAGGCAGAGCGUGACUCAAGGUCAGCCCUCAGCCUGGACAGCGCAGUAGGCAGGGAGCUCUGAAGACGCCGGUUUAAUUGCUCAGUCACCAGGUGAUUUUGUUGGGUGAAGUCCUUCUAAUGUAACGAGUCUUUCACACUUGAUCCCCGGGUUUGGUAACAGGUCUGUGCACUGAGCAGAGGGACAACACAGGAGGGUCGAAGGGUUUAUUGAGACAAGACUCCCGAGCUGAGCGUGGGCUGUCAGCAUCUACCGAUGGAUAGUUAUUUAGUUUACUUUUAUUUUCAGAUCUUGAACCUCUUAAGGAAGAGGGACAGCUGAGGGCCUGGUUAUCUGCCGUCCCUUCGCGGUGUUCCCGUUCCCGGAGCAAUGCAGCAGCUUGCACCGUUCCCCGCAGCUCCGGCCCCGAGGUCCGGGCGCUCGCAGCUGUACAGCUCCCUUUGCCCACGAGAGGCUGCUGGUGCCGUGCAAAAGCGUCCCCGAUGCUGGCUUCUCCCUUUAUUUAUUUAUUUUUUAAAAAUUCUCACUUUAAACAACAAAACAACAAUAAAAUGGAAAGGAGCAAGAAGCCGCUUUCUCCGGGGCCGGACCGAGGGCUUCGCCGACGCGUGGCCCUGGCCUUGGGGAAGGGAGGCUGAGGCAGGACACCUCGCGGGAGCCUUCCUCCCCUCUGCCGCGGGUUACAGCCGAGGGGACCAGAUCCAUGUGUUCCUGGGGAAUAGGGCGAACGUGUCCCCGUGCGAAGAGCGGCGGGACUGGCUGGCUGGCGGGUGAACGGCGGCAGGGCGUGGGGAGCAAUUCCCCGCUGACACCCACAUCCCACGUGCUGCUGCAGGCUGCACCUCUCCGUUCCGCUCAGUGGCUUUUCGAGGGUUUUUUGGGAUCCAGGAUCUAUGUUCCCAUGGGCCCAUUCUGCUUUGGGGAGGGAAGGAAACCCCUGUGAAACCCUCAGCAGUGUGAGCAGCUCUGCUCCAGCCUGGGGAGGGGGUAAGACCUUGUACCCCCCCUCGGAGGGGGCAGACGUGAGGCAGCGGGAUGGGCUGUUGAGUAUCUGCUAACGGGGGCAGGAGGGGAGGGGAACUCUGGCCAGCCCCCGCUUCUAGUCCUGGCCUCCUUCCUGAGUGGAUUUUGGUCCGAAUCCUCAUGCAUACUAAAAUGUGUUUACAGUGUUGGUUAUUUCACAUCAACAAACCUCCUUCCACGCCGGGGGGCCUGCUGGGAGCCACCUGAGGACGGCACCGCUAAGAGAUGGAGCUCAUGCAUUUUGCAUGUGAAUAGUUUGGGCUGGAUGAUUAUAAAACAGCAGCACCCUGCGCUGGGCUUUGCUGUGCUUUUCGUGUGCCUAUCAGCGGAGAGCAGCCCUUGGAUCUUGGCCUCCACGUUAGCUGAGGAGCGACAGCACAGAAAGGGGGACAUCAAUCCAAAAACCAGAGUGGGGGAAAAAUGCUCCACUUCUUUGCUCCUACAGCCUGCUCUGGACAUCAGCCUUCGCACUGUCCGAGCGCUGGGUCAAGACCCGCUGGUCCUGAAGCCUGUGUCCUGCCGUCGUCAGCAGAUGUGUCACCUCUGCGUGCUGGGCAAGGGGCUCUUUCCGUCUUGUUCUACUUCAUUUCAUCCGUGAAACUUGGUGCGGUCGGUCCAUGAAACCCCUGUGGAUGUUUACUUGAGACACUGCACUGGAGCAAACUGCUUCCCGGAACCUGCCGCUGGUCCCGGGACCCCCAUUCCCGCGUGCGCUGCUCGGCGCCGGCAGAAGUGUCCCCGGCUUGUGCUCGUUCCCUGGCAGCUCGGGGACUCUGAGACCCUGAGCAGGGGAAAGAAAAACCUCCUGGUGUCCCAGGAGAUCCCACCGUGCAAUAGGUAAUCUCAUUACUUCAACAAGAACAAGCUGGGGAAUUGAUUCAUAACUAGACUUGCAUUUUGGAAACAACAAGUGUCAUUUUCUUUUUUUAAUACUGAUGCGUGUUAAAGUAAUCUGAUUAUUAGUAAAAACCCCUCUAUAACCCAUCUCUGACCAGGACGAAGGGUCUCUGACCCUGGGGGCAGGUUUUGCUCUCUGACGUCCUUGGCUGAGUUUGCAGGGCCAGUUUCCACCAAAGGGCAUCUCUGCCCGUUCCCCUGCGUCGUAUUCGGCUCCCAGAAAGGACGGUCUCGCGCUUCGGGCACGCCGGAUGGUCCCUUCUGGAUUCGGCUACGGAUGUCUCGUGUGACCUUGACGUCGUUUGCCUCCCCGUGCCUCCCUUUUCCAGGCCCAGCCUGUGUGCGGUGUCCGUGCCGUGGGCUGGCUGGGACGGGGGCUGCGCCUCGCUGGACCUUGGGGGCUGCUCCUCGUCCUUCCCCGGGGACACGCUCCGAGCUCGCCGCCUCUGCCGCUCCGUCCUCGGGGCGACGGCUGCUUGGCUCUUCUGGACGCAUCACCUCAGCGACGGAGGAGAAACCAGGAGCCAGGUUUAAGCCGUCUGCCCAGGCCUGGGAGCUCCCAGCCGGUGGGGUGCGGGGCGGAGGGGACGAUAAGGCCGGCCGGGUCCCCCGGCUCCUCCCCAGCAGUUGGGACUAAAAGCCCCUCUCGUUGGUGCAUCUCAUUGUGUGCUGAUGGCCGCGGAUGUCGGGUAACCAUGGCAACUCAUUGAUUAGCAUCCAGCCCCUGUGAAACGAGGAACAUGCAGCCAUAAGAAUUACAAAUGAUGCUGUAUUGUCUGCUGCCAAUAGGCUGAUUACUGCCAUUUUCUGCCAGGUAGACCAGCUUUUACAGGCAACCCUGCGGUGUGUAAUUACCAUGCUGUGAUUGAUGCAUUGCUAUAGUUACUAUCUGCUGUGUUCCCUGACUAAUAGUUUUUAAAUUCCUCUUCAGAUGGAAAUGCAUUGCCUGUAAAUGUGAGAGGCAGAGGUCUACCGAGCCGGGAGAUUCAUCCUGCGAGAAGCCAGUUUGGGUGUGGAAAAGCGUCUCAUAAAGUAAAAUGCGGUGGUCAAGUGCAUGAGUCACUUGGAUCAAACCACCGCCGCUGCUGCGGGAUGAAUGGGGAUGUAAAGCCGUGGGCGGGAAGGGAGCGGGAAGCUGGGAUGGCGCAGGCACUUGCUGGGGUGUUUUUGCAGGCCUAAAACAUUUGCCACCUGUUGAUACCGCAUGGUUGUCCUGGAAAUAACCGGCUCCUACGCUGCGACCUGCAGCAGGACGCACAGGAGCACAGACGUGCGCAGAGCAGGACCUGGCGUCCUGCAACCCCAAAGCCUCCUGCGUGGGGGGAGCAGGGAUGUUUUGCCACCAGAGAGCUUGCAGCCGGCGGGGCGGGUGCUUGAGGGCAGAGUCUCAAACACCGCAGGGUGUUUCCUCGUUCGUAGUCCCGUCCCUGGGUCCCGCCGGCUGCACGGCCUGCAGCAGCUGGAGGGUCGACUCUGCCGUCGUGGUCCUCGCGGACGGCAAGUGCGAAGCCGUCCCGGCGGCGCCAAGCCAGCGCUGCGCUGGCUGCCGAUUAGUUGGUGACUGGUUUGGACCUCGGUGGCCCAAGCCCGUCCUGGAGAGGCAUCGGGCAGAGCCCGGCUCAGAGCCGGGGCGGUCGCAGACGGGCUCUGCCUCUCCCGGGGAGGGAGCGCCAGCCGCCCGGGCCGGUCUCCCCCGCGCGUCGCCGCUGGUGUUUAGACACCCGCGUAACCUAUACAAAGCUAAAAGUGGUUUGUUUCCUUUCAGACUGUUGAGUGCAGCCAGGGUAAUUUAGUAGAAAAAUGUCAUGCUAAUGCAAUUCAAAGUUCAAAUGAUCUUUCAUUUCGAGGGAAAGAAGGAUGCGUGUGCAGGCAGAAUGUUAAAACCCGGUACUUGCCCUGCAAUUCAAACAGAAAUAUGAGCUUCGGGGGAUACAUAAGUCACAUGAAGUACUGUGAGUGAAACGCACAAAAUGAAUAAAAAUGAUCCGGAAGCCGCUAUUAGCAUUGCUGGGGGGCAGAUCCAGCUCCGAACAAGUGUAGUGGCAGUCGGGAGCAGUGCUGGAAAGGAGAAUUUUGCAUGAAAUCACAAUAACAUGGAAAUAAUGAGAAGAAGUUAUCAGUAAGACAUUUUCUGUAUUAAUAUCUGAACGUUGCAGUCCCGGUGCUCUUGCUCCUCUCCGACCUGAUCCGAUCGCCCCAGCGUCCAGGCGAGGUCCGCUGGAGCGGGACCACGAUGCCGCUGCCGGGAGCGAGGGGUGCUGCCAGCUCCUGCGCGUGGGCAGCUCCGCCGGGGCUGUGGCAUGGCUUUGCCUUGCUCUUUCAAACGGGUGUUAGGGCCUUGAUUUCGGGGAAUCGCACCGGCUCGGCUGCUAGCUCAGGUCCGAGAGCCCCAGCCUGGGGAACAGCUUACUGCCAGCUGCUCGAGGAGAAAGCGAAAAUCCCUCUCAGCUGCUCGAGUGCUAUUUCGUGUAGUCCCGGCUCCUCAGCUAUUGUAAAUCAGAAGAGCUCCUUGAGCCUGGUGCUGUGAUUUACACCAGCUGAAGAUUUGGCUCUCCGAGGCUCAGUGCAGCAAGUCUCCCUCCUCCCGCUGAAGGCAACCGCCGCACAAACGCGUCGGGGAUCGUUUCCCUCGUGAUGCCGCUCAGGCUGCUCAGCUCCAGAUGCGAUGGGUGGUGCGAGUACCCCCCGUCCUCCCCGCAGCAGGUGCCCCAGGGGCAGGGAGCCGCGUAGGCGGCUGCGGGUGCCGGGAGCAGCCGUAACCCGGGCUGAAGGUGCAGCGUGGUCACAAGCGCGUGGGCUCUGCGCGGGCGGCUCUGCACCGAGCACAUCGCGCCGGCACGGACAGGCAGCGAGGAUGCUUGGGGUACCGGUAACCGCCUGCUGCUUCCCCUGCCUGCUGUGCUGCCUCUGGCAAGGCACCUCGUCCCUCCGCUCUUGCUUCCCGCUCGCUUUUUCCUCGCGCUGGAUCCCAGGGAGAAGGACUCAGCUUGGAAGCCACGUCUUUAGUGGUAGCUGUUAGCACAACGGUGCGAGAACGAUCUGCUGACAGCAGCUAAAGGAUGCUUAGGAUUUGAAGUCCCCGGGCCGGCGUUCUGCACAGCGGUGGCCAUCCCCUCGCAUUUGCAAAACCUGUCGAAGUCUUGGGGUGGAAGCUGCCAUUGCAGCUUGAAAGCAUUAUCCUCCUGAAGAGCACGGAAGGAAAAAAGCCUCGGUAUCUGCCAGGAUUCAUGAAGCAUAAUUGAAACGCAGACAGAACCGUUUCUGCAGGAAAAACGAGGGGUUCCAGCAGCCAGCAGGAAUUAGCAGCGGGCAGGCGUCCUCUGAAAGGGAGAAGAGCCCUGGCUUAGUGCAAAUCAGCAGUCUGCCCUCUCCCUGCCUCUUUUGAAGUGGAGGAAUGGAGAAGUUACGCGACACAGAGGGGGACUGUUUCUAAACAGAAUUGUUGAAGCAUCUCCAGGAGGCAACAGCAGCUCUUUUAAUCCAGAAGAGCCCAGCAGAGCCUCCGCUUCUGCCUGCGAUGCCGACAAAAGGAAGCUCCCGGAGGCCGGAGCCUCCCGUCUCCUCAGAAAAUUGCAGCAAAGUUCUCGGUCACUUGCAGAAAACUGAGUCUCAAAGUUUCCCUUGUCUCCCCCUUCCCCGCAGAGCCUCGUCCUCUGCGUUCCCAGCUCUCCCACCCGCCUCGGUCUCCCUCCGCAGUUGCCCUCCCAAGGGCCCCGUUUCACGGCAGCGAGGGAUUCAGCCCGCCGUUUCCCACAGGCUUGACGUUAGUUAAAAUAAUGCUCAGCAAAACCUCCUACCCGGCAAAGCGAGGAACUUCCAUCUGGCGCGAACGCAUUUAAGGCUUGCAUUUAAAAUGCACGUCGCUACCCAAGUCCCUAAGUAGAGUUGUAUCUCUGCCUAAUCUGUCUAAUCGUAACCGUGUACGACUGCGAGGCUUCUGAAACAGUUAACUGCAUGUGUCCAGAGGAAAGACAUUACCGAGGUAAUUGGGCUAUAAAAUGGUACGUACACGCGGAGGGAUUCUUUCCGACGAUACCCUGGUAAUCUGGGGAGCCAAGUUUGCUUCUCUGUGAUCCCGGGAUGUGUGUUGCUGCACUCAGUGUUCUCGGUGGUGCUGUACGUAUCUGGAAGGUAAUGUAAUUUUUUAACAAAAAAAUUUUUUUUAUUACAACUCCGCAUUCAGCAUAACUCUUCCCGAGUCCUCUGCAUGAUUGUUUGCAAGUAGCUGAUUGUUAGGAAGGAAAGGUAAUUGCGGAAAGAAAAUGAGAGACUCAAGAAAACUGUUUGGAAAGUUGAAGGGAGCCGUGGCGCGAGCAGCAACACGGCUGAUUGCCUGUGGCUGAUGAAAUCCAUUUGCAUCUUCCAAUCUUUCUCUGGCUGCGUCUGACAUUCGUCUGCCUCUCUCCUGGCGCGUGAAAUUCCUCCCCGUCGCUGGCGGGGACGGGCCGGACUCGAGGCCCUUUCCGGGGAAGGCCUGAUGCUGCCUUGAAAGGACCAGCGUGAACACUGCAACCUUUUUCUUCCUCUGUCCUUCAUCCAGAAGGACAUUAUUGCCGUAAAUCUACCAAUAUCACCAGGAUUUCUCAGCUUUUCGGACUCUGAGGUAUUCCUGCUCCUCGCACAGGGGGAUGCAGCAGAGCAUCGUCACCCGCCGCACCGGGAAGAACGACAUCCCGGGCACCUUGCUCGAGGUUACAGAUGGGUUCGCGGCAGGGGCAGGGAGCUAAAUCUGUAUUUCCCGAGUUGCAGGCAGUUUCCCCAGGCACAGAACUGUGUUUGCUUUCUCUCUUUGCCCUUAAAUAUCUUUGGCUUGGAGUGGGUAAAUAACCCCAGCAAAGCGUGCCUUUUUGGAGAGGAGGAUGAUUUAUGCCGUGGGUGGCGGGGUUCUCCCUGCAAUUUUUUGAAGAGCCAAUUACAAAAUGGAUCUUUUGCCUCCGUGAACUGCCUGCUAGAAAAUGCCCUUGCUGUUAUUCCGGGCGUACGGCUCGCUCGCUGCGCCGUCCUUUCCGAAGGAGAUAAAAGCCUCUGCUCAGCUUCGAGGGCCUUCCUCCUCCAGGGAGAUGGAGGGGCCGAGAACAAGGCCCUGCUCGGGGGCGAGUUCAGGGGGAGGACGAACAAAUCCGGGCAACCUCCCGUUUGCCGGGAGCGGACGAGCCCCCGGCGGGGACCAGGAUCGCUGCAAAUGGGCUCCAAGCCGCAGGAGUGGCCGCUACAGGGCGGCUGGGCCGUGCCAGGGCAGCGGUCCGUGGUGCAGGGUUGCAUCCCCGGCCGCGGCACCCCGGGCCCGGCCCCUCGGCUCCCCCGUGCUCGUAGCGCGAGCAGAGCACCGUCGCGGGGGCAGAUAUCCCUUCCCAUCCCGGACCGUUUUUAUGGCCUGAACCAUGAAAAUCAAUGCUGUAGUGAUUUUUAAUCCGGUGUGUUUGGUGUGUCUGUGUACACGCAUGUGUAUCUCCGCAGAUGGGAGCUGCGUUCCCGGUCGGUGCAAAGCCGCAUCACACCACGGAAAUGAAUGGAGCUGGCAGCUUCUGCCGGCAGACGAUCGCUCCCUGCUUUAGUCGCUUGCUCUAACGCGACUGCUGUGCAGCUCCUGCCCCUCGUGCCGCUGGCUCUCCCCCUUCGUCCGGCUUAUUGCGGCGGAGCUGUCUGUGUAAGGGGGUCGUAAGUAAUAUUAACCGAGCUAAGAAAGGAUGGUGCUCACUUGCUAUUCCAGAUAUUACUGUUUUUCUCUUCUCAUCAUCGCAGAGCUUGUUAUUAUUGUAUCACAGGUUUUAAGUGUAACGUGGUCUUCUGUUUUUGAUCUCUCUCCCUCUCAAAAAAAAGGGAGCAGAGAGAGGGGAUGAGGGAAUUUGCUGCACCCGCGUGACGCCGGGAGCCGCGGCUCCGAGGGCGAGCGCAGCUCCUGCCGCGUCCCGCAGCUUCGAGGUCGUCUUCUGCAGAGCCGAGGAGAUGCAGCCGAGGUCGGUGAGGGCUUGCCGGGCCUCAGCUCGGCUCAGCUGGGAACCUCCGCGGCCGAGCGGUGUGCGGGGAGCUGCGUCUCGCAGGACGCUGCAGCGCGGGGCUGGCGCCGGACGGUCCUCGCUUCUUGCUGCCCCGUGCCAGGCACCGGCCUGGGGAAGAGGUGCUGCUGUGCAGGACCAGCCGGGCCCGCCUGGGCCGCGGCGUUCGGUCGCGGGUAAUUACGGGUACGUGCGGGGUAGCGGGACCCCGCGACCGGGGCUGACGGCGGAGGCGGAUUUACAGUCUGCUCGGCGGCGGCCGUCGCGAGGGACGCUCGUCGGGGCGAGACGCCCGCCUUCGCUGCAUAACACAAGCUGUUGAGCAGCGGCUGACUUACGCCCAGCCGCGCUGCCUGCGCCGUUAGAGCCCCCGGAGGAUUAAUUACGGCGAUAUAUACCCCUCCACGCAGGCGUCUCGAGAGCGGCGCGUCCGUAAAUCAAGCGCGUGCUUAUUGCGGGCAGCUUCCUCCAAAGCGCUGCGGCUCUUCGCCGAUGGAAAGCGAAGGGAAAGCACCAGGAGCCGGGGGCGGAUUUCCCUUCCCAGGGCGACGGCCCCGACCGACGGCCCCCAACCGUCCUUCUCGCUCUCGCUCUGCGGGAGAGCAAGGUCCGAGCAUCUCGGUGUGCGUUGGGCAUCCCGGUGCCCCGUCCGCCUCCUCCGCCGCUGCCCUGCUGCAAAAUGAUGGAUAAACGGAUGGAAAAAAUGCUCGAAAUGAUAGAUAAAUGGAUGGAAAAAAAUGCUGAUUUACUCCUUCCUGUGCUCAAGCUCAUUGAAAAGCAGAGAAACGUAACAGCUUGCAUCGCUCCCAGGGUAACGGCUCCUAAAGCGCUUUGCAGGCAGCGUGCUGGACUCUGCUCGUGUUGUGACACUGUAAAUCCCGACUGGCUCCGUGGACCGGGCGAGUGGAUCCCCGGCUGCGGUGACGUGGCCUGGCCCUUCCUGCCGAAAUCCCGGGCUUUGCGAAGCUGGCUCAGUACGGGUGACCUUUCAUUAAAGGCGGUUACCUAUUGAAGAGAUGACUGCUUAAAAAAGCUAUCUUCCUCCAAGGUUUUGUUUCAUUUUGACUUCUUUGGCCAAAGAGGAAAAAGUCUGAAAAAUACUUGGAAAGAGAUGAGAAUUUCCGCAGCAGAACGACCGCAGGUGCAGGACGAAGCUUUGGCGGGGAGGAGGCAGGUGGGUGCCGGGCAGGACUGCAGCUUCGGGGGGUCCCCGGCGGUGCCUCGGGGGCCCCAGCCGUACCCGCCGCUCGGGAUGCGCACACGUGUCUUUGCAGAGGGAGGUGUGAUCUGCGCCAGCGCGAUGCCGUCCUGCCCUCUCCCGCCGUCCUCCGCAGCGGGACCUCGCUCCUACCCGGUGCCUCUCAUCCGCAGGGGACGUUCCCGGGCAGCACUCGCGAGCGGCCGUAUUAUGAAUUCCUCCUGUCAGGUGAUAACUUCUUAUGAGGUUCUUAUUCUUUGGACAAUAUAUUAAAAGCGUAUUUUCUGCCA